GUCAAGUUAUUAAGGGUGCAGGGUGGAUGCCUUGGCACUAGGAGCCGAUGAAGGACGUGAUAAGCUGCGAUAAGCUUCGGGGAGUUGCACGUAAACUUUGAUCCGAAGAUUUCCGAAUGAGGAAACUCACUUAGAGUAAUGUCUAAGUAUCAUUAAGUGAAUACAUAGCUUAAUGAGGGGAACUCAGGGAACUGAAACAUCUAAGUACCUGAAGGAAGAGAAAGAAAUUCGAUUCCGUAAGUAGCGGCGAGCGAACGCGGAUUAGCCCAAACCAAUAAAGUUUUCUUUAUUGGGGUUGCGGACAUAUCAUAACGAAGAGGUAUCGUAAUUGAAGAGGUUUGGAAAGACCCACCACAGAAGGUAAUAGUCCUGUAUGUUAAACGAGAAGACUUCAGAUAUGAUCCAGAGUACCACGGGACACGUGAAACCCUGUGGGAAGCAGGAGGGACCACCCUCCAAGGCUAAAUACUACCUAGUGACCGAUAGCGUAUAGUACCGUGAGGGAAAGGUGAAAAGAACCCCGGGAGGGGAGUGAAAUAGAACCUGAAACCCUGCACUUACAAGCUGUGGAAGCACAUUUCUUGUGUGACCGCGUACUUUUUGUAGAACGGGCCAACGAGUUACGUUAAGUAGCAAGGUUAAGCACUUAAGGUGCGGAGCCGUAGCGAAAGCGAGUUUUAACUGAGCGUUCAGUUACUUGACGUAGACCCGAAACCGGGCGACCUACCCAUGAGCAGGAUGAAGCGAAAGUAAAAUUUCGUGGAGGUCCGAACCCACGAGCGUUGAAAAGCUCGGGGAUGACUUGUGGGUAGCGGUGAAAUUCCAAUCGAGCCCGGAGAUAGCUGGUUCUCCCCGAAAUAGCUUUAGGGCUAGCCUCAAGGUGAGAGAUACGGAGGUAGAGCACUGAAUGUCCUAGGGGGUAUUGCACCUACCGAAGACUAUCAAACUCCGAAUGCCGUCAUCUUAUACUUGGGAGUCAGACUGUGGGUGAUAAGAUUCAUAGUCGAAAGGGCAACAGCCCAGAUCGUCAGCUAAGGUCCCUAAAUGUAAGUUAAGUGGUAAAGGAUGUGGGAUUGCACAGACAACCAGGAUGUUGGCUUAGAAGCAGCCACUCAUUCAAAGAGUGCGUAAUAGCUCACUGGUCGAGUGAUCCUGCGCCGAAGAUUUCCGGGGCUAAAACUUACUACCGAAGCUACGGCAUCAGUAAUGAUGGGUAGGGGAGCUUCCCAUACGGGUUGAAGCAUGACCGUAAGGACAUGUGGACAGUAUGGGAGUGAGAAUGUUGGCAUGAGUAGCGAGAUGUGGGUGAGAAUCCCACAGGCCGUAAACCCAAGGUUUCCAGGGGAAGGUUCGUCCGCCCUGGGUUAGUCGGGACCUAAGCUGAGGCCGAAAGGCGUAGGUGAUGGACAACAGGUUGAUAUUCCUGUACUACCGAUAACCGUUUGAGAGAAGGGAUGACACAGUAGGAUAAGCUAAGCACACUGUUGGUUAUGUGUGCCCAAGCAUUGAGGCAGUCAAAGUAGGCAAAUCCGCUUUGAUAAUGCUGGGAUGUGAUGGGGAGCGAAAUUUAGUAGCGAAGUAGCUGAUUUCACACUGUCAAGAAAAGUCUCUAUCGAGGUUAAAGGUACCCGUACCGCAAACCGACACAGGUGGGUGAGGAGAGUAUCCUAAGGCCAGCGAGAGAACUGUUGUUAAGGAACUCGGCAAAAUGACCCCGUAACUUAGGGAUAAGGGGUGCCACCAUCAGGUGGCCGCAGAGAAUAGGCCCAAGCGACUGUUUACCAAAAACAUAGGUUUCUGCUAAGUCGCAAGACGAUGUAUAGGAGCUGACGCCUGCCCGGUGCUGGAAGGUUAAGGGGAUCUGUUAGAGCAAUCGAAGCAGUGAACUUAAGCCCCAGUAAACGGCGGCCGUAACUAUAACGGUCCUAAGGUAGCGAAAUUCCUUGUCGGGUAAGUUCCGACCCGCACGAAAGGCGUAACGAUUUGGGCACUGUCUCAACAACAGACUCGGUGAAAUUGUAAUUCCGGUGAAGAUGCCGGAUACCUGCGACAGGACGGAAAGACCCCAUGGAGCUUUACUGUAGCUUGACAUUGGGUUUUGGUACUACAUGUACAGGAUAGGUGGGAGGCUUUGAAACCAGGACGCCAGUUUUGGCGGAGCCAUCCUUGGGAUACCACCCUUGUAGUACUGGGACUCUAACCAUAGGCCAUGAAUCUGGUCUUGGGACACUGUCAGGCGGGCAGUUUGACUGGGGCGGUCGCCUCCCAAAAGGUAACGGAGGCGCUCAAAGGUUCUCUCAGUACGGUCGGAAAUCGUACGUAGAGUGUAAAGGCAAAAGAGAGCUUGAUUGCAAGACAUACAGGUCGAGCAAGGAUGAAAAUCGGACUUAGUGAUCCGGUGGUUCUGCGUGGAAGGGCCAUCGCUCAACGGAUAAAAGCUACCCUGGGGAUAACAGGCUUAUCUCCCCCAAGAGUCCACAUCGACGGGGAGGUUUGGCACCUCGAUGUCGGCUCAUCACAUCCUGGGGCUGUAGUAGGUCCCAAGGGUUGGGCUGUUCGCCCAUUAAAGUGGUACGCGAGCUGGGUUCAGAACGUCGUGAGACAGUUCGGUCCCUAUCCGUCGCAGGCGUAGGAAAUUUGAGAAGACCUGUCCUUAGUACGAGAGGACCGGGAUGGACGUACCUCUGGUGUACCAGUUGUUCUGCCAAGGGCAUGGCUGGGUAGCUAUGUACGGAAUGGAUAAGCGCUGAAAGCAUCUAAGCGCGAAGCCAACUUCAAGAUAAGAUUUCCCACCGCAAGGGUAAGACCCCAGAAAGACUAUCUGGUUGAUAGGUCGAAGGUGUAAGUGCAGCAAUGUAUUUAGCUUAUCGAUACUAAUAGGUCGAGGACUUGAC
This 2894-nucleotide ribosomal RNA is filed under the name Clostridioides difficile. RNAcentral's name for it is "Bacterial large subunit ribosomal RNA". It matches the Rfam family "Bacterial large subunit ribosomal RNA". The record is from RNAcentral. Lineage: Bacteria; Bacillati; Bacillota; Clostridia; Peptostreptococcales; Peptostreptococcaceae.